Molecule: ribosomal RNA, 394 nt
Filed under: uncultured bacterium
Lineage: Bacteria
Description: bacterial SSU rRNA
Rfam family: Bacterial small subunit ribosomal RNA
Source: RNAcentral
GUGCCAGCCGCCGCGGUAAUACAUAGGGGGCGAGCGUUAUCCGGAUUUAUUGGGUGUAAAGGGUGCGUAGACGGGAAAGCAAGUUAGUUGUGAAAUCCCUCGGCUUAACUGAGGAACUGCAACUAAAACUAUUUUUCUUGAGUGCAGGAGAGGAAAGUGGAAUUCCUAGUGUAGCGGUGAAAUGCGUAGAUAUUAGGAGGAACACCAGUGGCGAAGGCGACUUUCUGGACUGUAACUGACGUUGAGGCACGAAAGUGUGGGGAGCAAACAGGAUUAGAUACCCUGGUAGUCCACACUGUAAACGAUGGAUACAAGGUGUAGGAAAUAUUAAGUUUUCUGUGCCGACGCAAACGCAGUAAGUAUCCCACCUGGGGAGUACGACCGCAAGGUUGAA